Molecule: long non-coding RNA, 125 nt
Filed under: Monodelphis domestica (gray short-tailed opossum)
Lineage: Eukaryota; Metazoa; Chordata; Mammalia; Didelphimorphia; Didelphidae
Description: lncRNA (ENSMODG00000034069.2)
Source: RNAcentral
GUACAUGAAUGGAACGGAAUAUGAUCUAGUUGAAAAAAGUGAAGAAACUGUUUCAAAGAGACAUAAAAAGUGAUCGUUUAGUCCAGGAUGUAAAGACUGAACUGAAUCCAGAAGUACGUGUUGGA